UAAAAGGGUCGGUUGGCUAAAUAUGCCACGCUCAUCCAUUGAAUGGUGAGUGCGGUAUGUCUAUCAAGACAUAUGGCCGACAUAAUUUCUAGGAACUUAUAGGAUUGGCUCCCUUUGGCCGACCCUCCA
RNAcentral lists this small nuclear RNA (129 nucleotides) under Helianthus annuus (common sunflower). Its description in RNAcentral is "U11 spliceosomal RNA". It matches the Rfam family "U11 spliceosomal RNA". The record is from RNAcentral. Lineage: Eukaryota; Viridiplantae; Streptophyta; Magnoliopsida; Asterales; Asteraceae.